AUAGUAGCAGCGAUUCGCCUUGAAUAAUUGCGGCUUUAGAAUGUUCCUUCUGCAGUGCGAUCGUUACUUCAUUAAGCCUUAUGUGACCAGGCUUGUGUUAGGAUGAAAAAGAAACAGAGAAUGAAAAAAGAGAAACAUAACGCGAAGUUGUGAAACAAAACGAAAGAAAACUAAAUUUUCCAGCUGGAGGUCUAUCAUAAACAGCUUCCAGCUCUAUUAUAAACAGUCUAAAAUAUAUUUAAACAAUUUGGUUCUAUGACGCCGGGGCUUGUGCGUUAGGUUUACGGAGAAGAAAAAAAAUUACUACUGAAAACGGAUGCUUCGGAAACAAUCAAACAGUGCUGAAUGCAAUAAAAGCCGCUCAGUUUUGCAAUAAUUCAUCAUUUCUUUCAAGAAAAACGUGAGUAACUGAUUUGUUCUUGUGUGCUGGCUGGUAUAAUUACUUAUUUAUUGCAGAUGAACAAGUCAGCAUUUCUCCUCUUGCUUCUCAUCGGACUCAUCGUCCUCACCGAAACCACUACUGCUGAGUGGACUGAUCGUCGUCGCCGUCGUCGCAGAUGGACAAAGUGGAACCAAAAGAGCAGCAUGCUUAACGAAAUCAUGGAUGCCAUGGAAGAAAAUGAUCUGUACGCACAGCAAUAAGCGUCCAUUGUACAAUAAUUGAAAUCGGAUGAUAUCAAUAAAUAAUACAAAAAGCGAGAAUA
Ciona intestinalis (vase tunicate) is the source of this 704-nucleotide non-coding RNA. The record is from RefSeq and is a predicted model, not a curated record. Lineage: Eukaryota; Metazoa; Chordata; Ascidiacea; Phlebobranchia; Cionidae.